RNAcentral lists this transfer RNA (77 nucleotides) under Candidatus Roizmanbacteria bacterium CG_4_10_14_0_2_um_filter_33_96. Its description in RNAcentral is "tRNA-Ala". It matches the Rfam family "tRNA". Rfam says of the family: Transfer RNA (tRNA) molecules are approximately 80 nucleotides in length. Their secondary structure includes four short double-helical elements and three loops (D, anti-codon, and T loops). Further hydrogen bonds mediate the characteristic L-shaped molecular structure. tRNAs have two regions of fundamental functional importance: the anti-codon, which is responsible for specific mRNA codon recognition, and the 3' end, to which the tRNAs corresponding amino acid is attached (by aminoacyl-tRNA synthetases). tRNAs cope with the degeneracy of the genetic code in two manners: having more than one tRNA (with a specific anti-codon) for a particular amino acid; and 'wobble' base-pairing, i.e. permitting non-standard base-pairing at the 3rd anti-codon position. Lineage: Bacteria; Candidatus Roizmaniibacteriota. The record is from RNAcentral.
GGGCCGUUAGCUCAAUUGGCUAGAGCGUUUGCAUGGCAUGCAAAAGGUUGUCGGUUCAAGUCCGAUACGGUCCACAA